UGCCUCUCCCAGACGCGUCGCCACUCUUCACCCACCAUUCCAGUGCCGAUCCAUACGAGGGAGAGCAUCCUCGCUGCUCUUCUCCACUGGUUCUCCAUCACCGGCUGCGAAGAAGACGAUGGCCGCAAUCGUUGAUGAGCCGCGGUCGUUUCCUCUUCUCUUGCGUUCCAUACUCUCCUCACCAUGCCGAAUAUUUCUCCUUUUGAUUUCAUCCUCUCUGGUGCAGCCAAUCGGCGGGAACGCUGCCAUGCACACCGGAGCUCUGGAGCGCGCUCUGCGCACCGCCGCAGCAACAUCGUCGCCGUUGCCAUCAAUCUAGAUCAAGCCGGAGCGAGCCACCACGCCACCAGCUUCACCUCAACCUCCUCUCCAUUUCCCCUCAAGAAUCUUCAAGAAUGGUGCUACGAGUGUGGAGAUCGUCCACCGUCUUCUCCACCUCCGGUCGCCGUCGCCAUUGUCGAUUCCGCCUCCUCCGGUGAGCCAUUGUCCGAUUCUUCGCGUAUACACCAUCCCUGGGACCUCACUAACCCCAUGAAAACACAUGCAUGUCAAUUCGAUGAGUGGAUCGAGCCGUUGCCGUCUUCCCGGAGCUCUACACCGUCGCCGGACCAUCUUCUUCUCCGCUGCCGCUGUCCAGACUUUCCGGCGCCUCGUUCAAGGUUCGUAGCAGCCUAAGCACAGCCGCCGCUCGGACUCGCCGCCGGCGUUACUCCGAUGUCCACUGACCAAGAAAAGAAGAGGAAUGGAAUCGCAAUAGCAUGAUCUUCAUUUUGUCUUUUGGUCGCACCCUCAAACGAGCCACCGUUUGCCGCUGGCAAGCUUGAGAUCGAGCUCAGCCAUGGCUUGAUCUGCUUCAGCUCGAACCAGGGACCUCGUCACAAGAAUUUAGGUUAAUAUAGGGCUCUUUAUGCAAAAGCUCAAGACACACAGAACAGUCAUAGGACUGCGGGUUGAUUUCCUGAAACUAUAGGAGCCUUUUUGCAUAUUGGCCUGAGACUGACAGUGCACCCCUUGGAAACAAAAUCUGAAAUUAUAAAAGAACAGUAACUAAAACUUGUAAAAAUCCAUAUAAAAUUAAAUAUAGCUCAUUUUAAGAUGAUUCAAAUUUCUGUGAACUCACCAAAUUGGGAACUUUGAUGUUA
Molecule: non-coding RNA, 1142 nt
Organism: Oryza sativa Japonica Group (Japanese rice)
Lineage: Eukaryota; Viridiplantae; Streptophyta; Magnoliopsida; Poales; Poaceae
Source: RefSeq, a predicted model, not a curated record